This is a long non-coding RNA of Lathyrus oleraceus (garden pea), 599 nucleotides long. RefSeq lists it as uncharacterized. NCBI's taxonomy places the organism in Eukaryota, Viridiplantae, Streptophyta, Magnoliopsida, Fabales, Fabaceae. The record is from RefSeq and is a predicted model, not a curated record. The transcript is spliced from 2 exons.
CUACAACAACAACCAACAAUGGCUUCAUCGAAAUCGACAUACAACAAUGGCAGAUGUUAUUGCUGAGCAUCUUCAGAUACCGUAAGAGAUCAAGAUUGGAUCCAAAAAAGGUUGGAUUCACUAUAUGCCGAAGCCAAAGAAGAUGCACCUUUACCAACAAUCGAUGAGCAAAAGAAGGUUUUGUUGAUAUCAUGAAAAAAAAAAAACUAAUUAGAAAUCAGUAGUCGUGGAUAUUUCCAUUUCAAGUGUGAGUAGUAGGUAAUAUGUUAUAGUUUAUGUUAAUAUUUUUGUAGUUGUAGGUAGAUUAAAUAAAAAAGGAAAAAUAAAGUAGUUUGAUAAUGAAUUGCUGAUCUGAAGAGUUAUCGGAUGGAGAGAUCGAAGAGAUGAAUAAGAUUUGUGAAAAGUAAUAUAGUCAUUCGAUGAUCCUAACUUGGACAUCCAGAACAGCGAAUUCGAAGAGGAUGACAACGACGACGAGGAAGAAAAAAAGAGGAGUAUAACUGGGAAAGAGUAGUCAGUUAUGGAUAUAGAGUAAAGAAAAAUGUUCGGGUAUUUUUAUGUUGAAAAUAGUAGAAAAAUUUAUAGGAUUGUAAUUUUCA